UACGAAGGGGGCUAGCGUUGCUCGGAAUCACUGGGCGUAAAGCGCACGUAGGCGGAUAUUUAAGUCGGUGGUGAAAUCCUGGAGCUCAACUCCAGAACUGCCUCCGAUACUGAAUGUCUUCGAGUCCGGGAGAGGUGAGUGGAACUGCGAGUGUAGAGGUGAAAUUCGUAGAUAUUCGCAAGAACACCAGUGGCGAAGGCGGCUCACUGGCCCGGUACUGACGCUGAGGUGCGAAAGCUAGGGGAGCAAACGGG
RNAcentral lists this ribosomal RNA (254 nucleotides) under uncultured bacterium. RNAcentral's name for it is "partial 16S ribosomal RNA". It matches the Rfam family "Bacterial small subunit ribosomal RNA", at positions 524 to 776 of the family's 1533-position model. The record is from RNAcentral.